Loxodonta africana (African savanna elephant) is the source of this 125-nucleotide small nuclear RNA. The record is from Ensembl. Lineage: Eukaryota; Metazoa; Chordata; Mammalia; Proboscidea; Elephantidae.
GUGGGAGUGAAAUGAAAGGAGGUUAGCACUCCCCUUGACAAGGAUGGACGAGGCCCUCAGCCCUUGAAACACACAUACAGUUAAGGGGUUGCCACCAACUUUGUGGCAUCUGACCAAAGUUUAAG